GUGAGAGGGAGAAACCUGCCGCGGCUCUCCGCCUCUUUGUCUGCUCUGGGACUUGGAACAAAAGGGAGAACUCUGAUGAACUCCUUCUCCCGCUCCCUGGACGCCCGGGAAUCUCUUUCUCGCAACUUUGUCAACGCGACUCUCUCCGCUGUCAGGCUGCGCAAAAGUGUCCCAGCGCCUCGCAGGCUCCAACAAUGGAAACAGUGUCCCUUCAAAGUGCGACGAAGUGGGGGGAGAAGGUGUCAUUACCAGCAGCUCCAAGUGUCCCGUCAUGCUUAGCCGGAGUACUUCCGACUGAUCUGCCUUCAGAUUGUUCCCAUUGGAUAUAUACCUACCAGCCAGUGGCAUGGACGUGCCGAGGAGUUAGCCCUGGAUGAAAGACCACCAACUUCUUCCUUCGGAGUUUCUUUGGUUAAAUUGUUGGGAUGUUUGGCAAGGCUUUCAUUAUGUGGAUUACUGCAGUGUGAUGACUGGGGAUUCUUCACUUCUAAAAGGCAUCUUCUAAUUUGGCUCUAACAUAUGGUGUGAAUGACUGACUGAUGGCCGUCCAGUGACCAGCUGGGAUUUACUGCCUCAUAGGGCAUGCAUGUAUGUGAUGAAGGGAUAUACACGAGUGACUGCAGGAUUUACUUCCUUCCUGUCCCUCAAGGUUACUGAAGGGAGUGGGUUAGGGGACAACAUACAAUAGGACAGGCUCUACCUCAAGACAACCCUGGUCAAAACAGGAAGAUGAAACUCGGGUUUCAACGGGGAGACCGCAGCUUGGGAUUCUGUCUGAACACACCUCUUAAUUAUAAGCAGAAAAGUCUUCCUACUUUUCCAUUUCCAACCCCUGCACCCCCAAGGAGAUGUCUGCUGAAAGGUGAAAGCAUCUAGGGGAGUCACUGUUUGCUGAGCUCUACCUGAGAAUGUGAUGUUUUGACAGCUUCAGCUCCAGACUUGGUAUCAGGCGUUAUCAGCUGAAGGUUCCUGUUGCAAAAUGAGACGAUUGUCCAUCAUUCUCAGAAGAUAAACUGUCACCCCUAUUACUAGUUCAGACGGCGGCCAGUGUGGCCCUCCAUCUUGUUCUCCGAAGUUGUGGAGGACCCCUGUGGGGCUGUGACCCACAGGUUGAGAAUGACUCAUCUAAGGACCACAAUGAGGGCAAAGUCUGGGAAGAAAGACUAACUUGCUGUGUUAUUGGAACAUCGAGGAGUAUGGGACACAGGUUUGGCAGGAUUUCAGAGUCAUUCCGAUUAACUCAGAAUGACGUGUCAGACCUUCUCUCCCUGAAAGUAAAGUCCUCUUCUGAAGGAAGCCGUGCAGAGCCUGCAACUCUUUAAGCCCCACUGCAGCUUGGUUGAUGGUCGGCCUGCACCAGAUGUAAGUGAAAAAAAAAAUGGCAGCCCGGUCCAAGAGCAGGUAGCCUAGAAGAAGAAGAAGAAGGUAGACCAGCCCAGAGCUUGGAUCUUCCUCCCAUGCUCAGGAAUUGCCAUCAAUACUAUUACAUUGGGUCUCUUCUUGUUUUCCUCUGGAAGACACAUGUGUCCUCUGUUUGUGACAGUUUGGUUAUGGUUGUUAGCUCCUCCUGCACAUUGUUUUCAGGACUUAAAGAAACAUUGCUUUAAAGGUUUAUCAAGAUGUGUUUAAAAUAAAAAUUUUCCUCCUCUUGUUUAGUAUGCAAUUGAUUCUUGCAAUUUCCUCAGUCAAACUUUUUAUUGAUCAAAUUUACUCUUUGAGAAAUCUAUAAAUGUUAUUCUCGACUUUUCUCACACUCUCUAUGUCCUUUCCAGCUGUCACCCUUCCUCCUUCAUAUGGGUCCAUUUCACACAUUCAUGUAUUUUUGUUUUAUAAACCAUUGCUUUUAACCAGGGCCAUCUGUGUUACCAAGGGCAUAGAAUUAUUCACUAGAGCUUGGUUGGCUCACAAUAAGGAAAAUGACUUUCCUUUUUCCAAAGUCCACCAUAGCUAAGAAUUCAGCCCCAUCAUCCACCUCUCCAAUCCAUAAUUGAUGGUUGGGGAGCCCAGUCCUGGGAAGGUUCAUUGCAGGCACAAUGGAUAGCUGCAGUGGGAUCAUGUCUUGACGAUAGUAGCAUUUUGUAGCCCUUUUCCCUGUCUUCCAUGUCCAUGUAUGUUAUGUUCCUUGAGCCCUAGAUGAGAUAGUAUGAAUGUCCUGUCAAUCUGUCCAGGUGGUAGUAUAUGAGUUCAUUUAGAUGAAAUAAAGGCAAUAACCGAUGGGAAACAUAUUCUAAGCACUGGACAUGCUACAGAAAGUCCAGAGAAUAACAAAAAUCCAACAGUUCAGUAUAAACUCAAGGUUAUUGUUCUAUGUCAGUGUCAGUAGUGUGUGAGUUCUGAAGGAUCUGUAUCACUGUUAAGUUAAAAAUUAUCUGCUCUUAUUUGCUUUCAGUGGAUUUGUCCAGAUAGCUGGUAAGAAACAAACAAACAAACAAACAAAAAAACAAACAAUUAGGACAUAAAGAAUAUAGCGGGAAUGUGCUCUGUAAGAUAAUUGCAAACCACUUAUGGGUAUCAGUACAUAGGAAAACAAUAAAAAAAAAUCUCAUCUCUGGCUACUUAUUCAGCAUUAACUUUGCAGGGGUUGUGGGUUGUAGUUUUGACCUAGAAUCCUUAAAGAACUGGGAUGUGUGUCUUUGCUGCUUUAUCAUAUCUGGUUAUGGGAAAUUAGUACUCAACAUAUGUUAAUUGAGAUCUUAGAUAGAUGGAUGUUGUUAUAAUUGGGAAAUAGGCUGUAAUAUAAUGUUUAGGGAUUUUCCUUUUUUUAUGUUUGCAUAACUGUGUUACCUUGCAAUAUGAGCUUUUUAUUCACAAUAUUAUGUCUAAUUGAGUUAAGAUACCACACAGUGUAGUGGAAAAAUAUCUACUAGAUUGUCUUAAAUAGCAUUGUCUACUGCUGGUGUGUUCUGUAAGUAGCAAGUGUUGUAGAUAACUCAAUAUGUGUGCUUUUUUUCAGUGAUGCAUAUCAGGGCGAACAUUUCCAUUUUACUUAGGAAUCUUUUUUUCCUUUCAUGCUACAGUGGACCCUACAGAAUCCUGAUCCACCAUACAACUUACUACCUAAGAGAUUUCCUUUAGGAUGUUGAGAGUAGAUUGGGCUUUUAUAUAAUAUUUAUUUUCAAAGUCAGAUUAAAGCACUACUGGAAUACUGUACAUUUGCAUCUUUAAUUGUUCUGCAGUUCUUUUUAUGUCUGUAGGAUUGGGGGUUUGGCGCUCAGAGUUCUUCAAGCCCAGCUGGAAGUUGGUUCUGAAGCUGUAGGUCACAACCCCUUUGGGGUCACAUAUCAGAUAUUUACAUUAUGAUUCAUGACAGAAGCAAAACUGCAGUUAUGAAGUAACAACAGAAUAAUUUUAUGGUUGGGAGUCACCACAACAUGAGGAACUGUAUUAAAUGGUCACAGCAUUAGGAAGCUUGAGAACCACUGUUCUAGGCCAUAUCCACUAACCGUCAACAACCAGAGGAUGUACAGUGAAUAAGCCCAUGUCUUUGCCUCCUCACAACGGCCAGCCUUUUUAUUGUGCACUUCAUAUUGGUCAUCAUUGGAUACACUCACGGAUCCAUUAUGUUACAGAAACAACCACAGCAUGAACACCAUUGAAAACAAUUUGUUGGUGUACUUGGAAGAUGGCACUGUUGGUGAGGGGCUGCCUCACAACCACUAGUAUCCGAGUUAACAUUAUGAACAUCUACCUAAAAGUCAGGGUCCAUAGUGCAAGUCUUAAAUCCCAGGGCUGAACGCGAACACAUGCAGAUCCCUGGAAUACACUGGUGGGCCAGGCUUGAAGAAUCAACAAACUCCAGGCUCAGUAAAAGACCUCAUCUCAAAAAAUAAGGUGAAAACCAAUCAAGGAAGGCACCUGAUGUUGACCUCUAGUCUCCAUACACAUGUUUACACAUGUGCAUAUACAUGUAUACACACACGGGGGUGUGGGGAUUUCUUAGGGUAUCUAUUACUAGAUUGACAGACCAUUUUCCCUGAUAAGAAGUCUGAUUGAUGGACCAGUUUUCCAAAUGGUUUGCCCACUAGCUCCAUAUCCUUAGGCUUCACAGCUCACCUAUUUUUUUUGCUAAUAAUGACUGUACAGUACAACCAAUGUUGAGAAAUAUCUUUCCCGGUGUUUAAUGAUUAAGAAAGUCCCAGUGGUUCACACGGGUUGUUGUUUGUAGCCACUCUAGGGUGACGCUGUGCAACAUGACUCAUUUCUGGGGCAAGGAGAAAAGAGAGCUGUGAACGUUUUGUGAAUGAGAAUGCAGGACAAGCAGGAAGCCAUGUACUUGGAGUUAGGGCUUCCUAGAGGUAUUGUUAGGAGGGUUUUCUCCUUCUUUGUAUGUAUCUAUGUGCUCUACAUGUGAUUGUUUUUUUUUUCUCUGAUUCUCCAAUUUCUACUCAUUCUUCUCCCAUUGUUGGCAUUUGUUUCCUUUAUUUUUGAUGCAAGUGGGUGGUCUUAGGUAGACAUUAACUAUACAUAUCAAUGUGCUCUGACUGCUUGAGUGGUGUAGCCUCUAAAUAGUUCCUCAUUUGGAUCUAAAAAAGUAGUAUUUACUGAUAAAAUGUCUCUAUUUUAUGUCAUUUAAAAUAUUGGUAAAACAUCAGAUUGUGGCAAUCUUGGGUUUUCUGAUGAGGAAGUGACUGUCCCUUUCUAUGUCAUUUCCUGGCUCUGAAACCGUGUUUAUUCCAAGCCCCUUUGUUAAGGAGUCAAAAUAAAGGCCUUUGAUACUGGGGAGUCUGUCCCUGACUCAUUAUUAGUGGACAUGGUAUGUCUGGCUGGCUGGCAGUUUUUCUCUAUGUGCUAAGGUCAGCCUCCUGUAGUAUUUCACAACCUUCCCCAAACCUUGUGCAUCAGUGAGAAUCAAAGAAUUCGUUAGAGUGAAAAACAAAAUCUUGGCUUGGAGUAGUCAGAUGAGCAAUCCCCUAAGCAAGUCAGGGUGACAUGGGACUUAGAUUACACCAUGGUCAGUGCUUAUCUGUCAUUCUUUGGGAGAAAUUGUCUUUUGGCAAAAGUAUUCUUUAAAUUUUAUCCUUACUGUAGGGAAUCAUCUACGAUUUUAUUUUUCUCAUUGAUGGGGUUUGGAUUAGUAUUAUUUAGUAGAGAAGGCACUGAGUGGUCAGGUAAAAGUCCCAUGCAGACACUCACAAGGAUAUCUCAUCUCUGAGGUGGGAAUAACUAUCUGACUCACAGGGUUGAUGUAAAAGAUAAUGUGUAAACCCACCUUCAUAUAGACUCCAAUUCAGAUAAAAGGUUCUCCCGCUCUUUGAGUUUUUUUUUAAUGUUUAUUUUUAUUUUAUUUAUGUAUAUGUGCUUGUAUAUACCAAUCUGUGUAGGUACCUGUACAGACUAGAAGGGGGCAUGAAAUUCCCUGGAACUGUAGUUAGAGAAAGUAGUGUGCUGCUCAAAAUGGAUGCUGGGAACUAAACUCAGGUUCUCUGGAACUGCUCUUAACUACUGAACCAUCUCUCCUCCCACACGGGCUUCUGUUCUUAGGGACCAGAAAAGCUUUCUUAUGUCAUUUAUGUGAAGGUCAAAUUGGUGGUGAGACUUUUUUAAAAUUACGUCAUGAUCUCAAAAGGAACGAUUGGGACACUUUUCACCCUCUCUUUGUCUCUGCAAGGCAAUAUGCAUAUGCAUGCUAUAUGGAAAAUAUUUGUUUCUUGACUGUGGAAAUGAAAAUGGAACAGAAAUUGAGUGCCCCACCAUUCUUCCAAUAGACUGUGGUCAUUUUAGUCUGAAUAGAAUGCUGUUCCUGUCACUUAUCCUGUUUUCAUUCUUUUUUUUUUUCAAGCAGUGGGGAAUUUCCUUAGACUCCUUGCUGAUUUUGAUGGACACACACAUACUUAUCUUUAUAAAAAGAAAAGUGUUUAUGUCAGGAAAAAAAAAUGCAAUCUCUUUUUUAAGACCAGGAAAUGGGUACACCAAUGUAGAAAGCUAUAAAUAAAAUAUAACGUUGAGAACAAAAUGAUUGUGGGCUCACAGUUGCCUUCAUAACAAGAGCAUUUGCCACCAAAUUCUCAUUUGGUGAAGGUGGAGAAGCACCCUUGGGAACGCCUUGACAGGUCCCCAUCCAUCAUUCUGAGUCACUUCCAAGCCAGUUUUGCUCCCAGAACACAACUUUCCAGCCUUUCUAUAUGAUCCAAGGCCAUCACCUCAAGAAUUCAGCUACUGAACUUUGAAUAGCUGGAAACUAUUUUGAGAAGAGAUCCUUUUUGAAAACUGCUGUCAUUAGGUAUGAGCCAUAUGGACUCAAGGGUUGGCAAAAACCUGAGCAGUGUCUUGUUCGUUAAAACAGAGAUACUUGUCUGAGCAGUAAUGCUGCCAGCAUAUCAGCUAUGUUGUAUGCAGUGGAGUACAGAUGCAAUUCAAUGGCAUUGACAGUCCAAUUGCAAUUAUCUAAAUAACACCUAAUUUCAUUCUCCCUUCACCUCUCAUCUCCAUAUGUGUAAGUAAGAGGAUUCUAGAAAACAAGUUCAUGAUAGGCAGGCAUGUUUGGCUAUUUAUUUGUGGCUAGGACAGUAUCCUGAUGCUUCUAUUUCCCCAAGUUGUGUUUUCAUCCAACAUCCCAUGGGUCUCAGAGAGACCCAUGUAAAUAUAUGUUCAUUGUCCAACCUGCAGCCCGUGGCAGAGGCAGGAAUCCCAAGGUAGCUAUGAAUGCAGCCCAAUACAUUAGUGCAUGACAAAGGCAUCCCUUGAUGUCUCCUGAGAGAAUGCUGGUGAUGCUGCACAAGCGGGAACACCACAGCCCCCUGGUAGUUCCUGCUGCAGCUCUUCUGCUUCAGACCUUCAUGUUUGUGUUUUCCUUUAUUAACACUAACACUUUCUCCUUUCCUUUAGAAGACGUCAUUGUAAAUUUUUCUUCACAAGUAUGAUUCCUACAUCCAGCUGCCUAUCAAGCUUCCCAUCCCAAGGCAUUUAAAGUAAUAAAGAUGUCAACAAUAGUGUCACCUUGAUUGAUGCUAAUUAUGAGUCUUUAAUGGUUCCUCUACUUUGACCACUGCCUCAGCUGAUUGUGAUUUUUAUGGUUAAAAUAGUACCCUGCUGCUCAGCAGCUUCAUCAGAAGUUCUGGCCUUUCUUUAGUGAUUCUAUGUUCAGUCAUGUAAUCCCAGUAACAUACAUUAUCUUUGUUAAAAGCAAGCUUGUGACAUUCAUAGGGCUGAUUAAUGCACCUAUAAGGAGCUUGAAGAGCCUUUAUUGUGAUCACAGCCUAGGUUGUGAUCACUUUGUUUUCUGUGUAUCGAAGCUACCUGCAGUGUUACCUGGUUGUCUGAGAAUAAUUGAAGAUUUCCGUGCUGUCCCCACUUAACACAUUAAUGCUGUAAAAUAAGCCUAUGUAAAAGCUGCUAUGUUAGAAAUACAAGAUUUGUGACCCGAAGAUGUCAUCAGUAUGUGGCAGUCACACUAGCAGAAUGAAAAGCAAGUUAUAUGAAGGCCUUCCUUCUUGGGAGAAUCCUGUUAAACAGA
This is a long non-coding RNA of Meriones unguiculatus (Mongolian gerbil), 7453 nucleotides long. RefSeq lists it as uncharacterized. The transcript has 9 exons. The record is from RefSeq and is a predicted model, not a curated record. Lineage: Eukaryota; Metazoa; Chordata; Mammalia; Rodentia; Muridae.